RNAcentral lists this ribosomal RNA (498 nucleotides) under uncultured bacterium. Its description in RNAcentral is "partial 16S ribosomal RNA". It matches the Rfam family "Bacterial small subunit ribosomal RNA", at positions 30 to 523 of the family's 1533-position model. The record is from RNAcentral.
AUUGAACGCUGGCGGCAUGCCUUACACAUGCAAGUCGAACGGUAACAGGUCUUCGGAUGCUGACGAGUGGCGAACGGGUGAGUAAUACAUCGGAACGUGCCUAGUAGCGGGGGAUAACUACUCGAAAGAGUGGCUAAUACCGCAUGAGAUCUACGGAUGAAAGCAGGGGAUCGCAAGACCUUGUGCUACUAGAGCGGCCGAUGGCAGAUUAGGUAGUUGGUGGGAUAAAAGCUUACCAAGCCGACGAUCUGUAGCUGGUCUGAGAGGACGAUCAGCCACACUGGGACUGAGACACAGCCCAGACUCCUACGGGAGGCAGCAGUGGGGAAUUUUGGACAAUGGGCGCAAGCCUGAUCCAGCAAUGCCGCGUGCAGGAUGAAGGCCUUCGGGUUGUAAACUGCUUUUGUACGGAACGAAAAGCCCUGGGUUAAUACCCUGGGGUCAUGACGGUACCGUAAGAAUAAGCACCGGCUAACUACGUGCCAGCCGCCGCAGUAA